UACAGAGGGGGCAAGCGUUGUUCGGAAUUACUGGGCGUAAAGGGCGCGUAGGCGGCCUGUUAAGUCGAACGUGAAAAUCCCCCGGGCUCAACCCGGGAACUGCGUCCGAUACUGGCAGGCUUGAAUCCGGGAGAGGGAUGCGGAAUUCCAGGUGUAGCGGUGAAAUGCGUAGAUAUCGAGAGGAACACCUGCGGCGAAGGCGGGUUGCUUGGGCUGAUACUGA
This 223-nucleotide ribosomal RNA is filed under the name uncultured bacterium. RNAcentral's name for it is "partial 16S ribosomal RNA". It matches the Rfam family "Bacterial small subunit ribosomal RNA", at positions 524 to 743 of the family's 1533-position model. The record is from RNAcentral.